UGGGGAAUAUUGCACAAUGGGCGAAAGCCUGAUGCAGCAACGCCGCGUGAGUGAUGAAGGCCUUCGGGUUGUAAAGCUCUGUCUUUUGGGACGAUAAUGACGGUACCAAAGGAGGAAGCCACGGCUAACUACGUGCCAGCAGCCGCGGUAAUACGUAGGUGGCAAGCGUUGUCCGGAUUUACUGGGCGUAAAGGAUGCGUAGGCGGAUUUUUAAGUGAGAUGUGAAAACCCUAAGCUUAACUUGGGGACUGCAUUUCAUACUGGGAAAAUCUAGAGUGCGGGAGAGGAGAAUGGAAUUCCUAGUGUAGCGGUGAAAUGCGUAGAGAUUAGGAAGAACACCAGUGGCGAAGGCGAUUCUCUGGACCGUAACUGACGCUGAGGCAUGAAAGCGUGGGUAGCAAACAGGAUUAGAUACCCUGGUAGUCCACGCCGUAAACGAUGAGUACUAGGUGUAGGAGGUAUCGACCCCUUCUGUGCCGCAGUUAACACAAUAAGUACUCCGCCUGGGAAGUACGAUCGCAAGAUUAAAACUCAAAGGAAUUGACGGGGUCAUAGCUGUUUUCCU
This 565-nucleotide ribosomal RNA is filed under the name uncultured bacterium. RNAcentral describes it as "partial 16S ribosomal RNA". It matches the Rfam family "Bacterial small subunit ribosomal RNA", at positions 355 to 1375 of the family's 1533-position model. The record is from RNAcentral.